ACUAAAUACACCAGGAAAUGAGGACUAACAAGAGACAGCUGACACAACAGGUGAAGCACGUAAGGGCAGGGCAGAACAAUCAGAAAAGGCGGGAAACAAACAACGACAGGAAAACAACUAGACAACACAAGGG
Etheostoma spectabile (orangethroat darter) is the source of this 133-nucleotide long non-coding RNA. RefSeq lists it as uncharacterized. NCBI's taxonomy places the organism in Eukaryota, Metazoa, Chordata, Actinopteri, Perciformes, Percidae. The record is from RefSeq and is a predicted model, not a curated record. The transcript is spliced from 3 exons.